Papaver somniferum (opium poppy) is the source of this 299-nucleotide long non-coding RNA. RefSeq lists it as uncharacterized. The transcript is spliced from 3 exons. NCBI's taxonomy places the organism in Eukaryota, Viridiplantae, Streptophyta, Magnoliopsida, Ranunculales, Papaveraceae. The record is from RefSeq and is a predicted model, not a curated record.
CAAGAAUGCCAAUUAUGUGCUUCCAGUUUAGUUUUUUGGUUGUCGAUUAACUGAUUUAUUGGUGGAGACCGCGACAGAGCAGGAUGGCUCAGUCAGUAAUAUCACCGUGCAGCCCACAGUUUUUCAGGCAUUGACACUAGCAGUACGUAAAGCGAGUCAAUCUAUAUGCAGUUAAGAAGAAAACGAUAAUAGAAGAUCCUUGCUUUUCCCCCCAGAAGCAUGGCAAUACAGUCGAAGAAAAAUUAUAAUCAUCACAAUGUAUGUGAUGUAACACGUUUUCUAAUUUAUUUAUCAUUGAU